UUUUCGUAGCAUCCAAGCUAUAUUAAUCAAAAGUCUUGGAUCACUAUCCUUCAACGCCAUAGUCUUUUAUUUUUAUCCUCAGCUAUCACCAGCUCACCGCCAUGUUUUCAUAUAUAUCAGAUUCAUCAUUCAUCACUUUCCUAUACUGCCUGUAUAAUUUUCAAAACUCAAGCAAGAAUCAUGUCUUCGUCUUUCACUGCGCAUCUUCAAAAUGGUAAAGAAACUCUAUUGUUUCAUAGUCUGAUUUGAUUUCAAUAGAGAAAAUAUUUUCUUCUAUUAUUCCUUUAAGCAGAUAAGAAAACCCAAAUACCCAACACUGUGAUUCACAAAAUCAGAUGCCCUGAUAAAUUGAACUUGCUUAAUCUAAAAUAGAAUAAAAUCAAAUUAGCAACCCAGAAUGAAAUUAGAAGAGGAUUAGAGAUGAAGGUUGGUGAAACAGCUGUUGUCGAAUCGGAGAGGCGAAGGGAGGUGCAGCGGUGGCGUCGCUGCUGUCACGGCCGCGCUACUGCCGGCGCUGACCUGGCUGAGAAAGCGAGGGAAGAGAGAGAGGAGGCGGAUGGGCGGUGCUAGAUCUGGAAAAGGGGAGGCGGCGGCUGGGCUGUGCUGCUGUCGACGCGGGGGCGGCGAUGGCGGUGCUGCUGCUAGCCGGGCGAGCGACAGGGGAGAAGCGUGGUUGUGGCGGUGGCUGGCGGAGGUUUCGCCGGAGGAGGGGGCGCACGGUGGCGCUGGGUGUGUGUCUGGUGUUGUGUUAAUUGAGGAAGGAGAGGGUGAUACGUAUAUUAAGGGGGUGUAUUCGUUCUGGAAUUUGAUGGAUUUCUAUGGAUUUUAAAAGUCUGGGUGUAUUCGUUAAAGACUUUUAAAAGUCUGCAGAAAUCUGGGUGUAUUCGUUCAAGACUUUUAAAAGUCCAUAUAAAUCUGGGUGUAUUCGUUCCAGACUUUUUAAAAUCCAUACAAAUCUAGGUGUAUUCGUUAUUCCAUUGACUUAAAAUUCGGAAUGACUUUCAUGGAUUUCAUCCAAAAAAUACACACGACGAAAUCCGGUCAAGAACCACGAGAAUUGAAAUCCAUGAAGUUUUAAGCGAGCAUUGAGUUCCAGCGCCCACGGCCAAGAAGCCAGCAAGCGCUGGAACUCAGCAAUCGUUGAGAGUGUCCAGCCCACGCUGGAUUUGAGCAGGCGCUGGGUUCCCAGCGGCUCACUUAUCUGAGCUAGAACAGUAAAAUUCUUAAUCAUACUGUAACUCUUCUAUUAUAAAGGGCCAAAGUCCCGUGCGACUCACUGGAAACAGACGGUCUUAUACCUAGAAGACGUGCUCAGCAUUUGUAAAGGGGAGACGUUGACGGGGACCAUGACUGUGGCGCCUAAUAAGAAGAAUCCCCGCGACGUGGAUAUAACCAUUAAGUAUUAACUAAAUGGGCAGCACUGCCAGGCUACAAGAACUCAACAUUAUAGAAUGCGCUGAUCUCUUGUGUGUUAUGUUUUCCCUUGUGCUGCUGAUUCUAUUGGGAUCUUUGUGUAACAUUACAGUAGGAUUUGAAUCCUAUUUAUAUUGGAAUUUGGAUAUUAUUAAUUUUGUUUAUCUUUGGUUUUGCUUAGCUCCUCUUAUUACAUUGGCAUGGAGUUUGAAUUGUUGAGAUUUCUCAUCAUUAAAUGAUUCAGGCGUAAGCACAAGUUGAUGAGCAUCCAAAUUGGCAUUUUGGUCUGAACCCAAAGGUUUCCAAACUCGCUGGGUUUCCAAACUCCUCUUAUUACAUCCAAACUCGCUGGAACCCAGCGCUCGCUGGGUUUCCAGCGCUCGCUAGAACUCAGCGGUCGCUGGGUCUUUUCUAGCGGGCGCUAGUUCUCCACGGGCGCUGGUUUCAUGAAAUUCAAUUCUAAAAUUAUCCCGUAAAGUCUUCGAAAAUCAGUGAAAAUCGGGGUGAAAUCCAACCACGAAUUCUUUGAAAGUCGUCUGGAAUCUAUGUGAAUUCCAUGGAAUUUAAAUUCCAUGGACUUUUUAAAGUCUGUGGAAAUCCACAACGAAUACACCCCCCUAAGAGAGAAAUAAGAAAUUGGGCCUUUUAGGGCCUUAAUUUUUAUUUAAUUGGACUUUAAAUUCUGGGCUUAAGAUAAUUCUUUAAGUUAACUUAUGUAAUUUACUAAUAAACAUAUUUAGGCUUUGAUUUGGGCUACUAAUUUUUAUUAAACUGGAGCCUGAAGUAGGUUUUACGAGUUGAACAUAUCUUUAAUUAAAUAUUUAGUUGAAUUUUCUUUUAGUAAUCAUCUAUUUUUAUUAUUUGGACCAAUAAUUUAUCAGGCCAUAUAAAAUAAACUUUCAAGUAUUUCAAGUAUUUUUAAAUUCAGUUAGGCCCUUAUAUGUUAUUAUUUGAAUUUAUCUGACUAGGUGCGGCGCGACUAGGACAUGGAUUUUAAUUUGAAUUAUCAGAGUUAGCAUUCAAGUUCAAGUUUAAGGUGUGAGAUUUAUUUCAGUACAUGAUGUGGACCUGUGGUUAAUUGUUGUCCAUUUUAAUAUUAUGUGUUUGCCAUAUGUGUUGUAAAUUCAGUUAUAUCGCUAGGGGCCCGCUCAAUGGGUCCAGGACUUCACCAUCCUUGGUAUGCCACAAUGCGAUUUCAUGUUACAGUUAGGGUUGCAACCUAUUCGCCAGGGGCCCGCUCAAUGGGUCCAGGACAUUAAAGUCCUUGGUAUGCCACCGUGCGAAUUUCAGUUAUCAGUACAGUGCAGUGCGUAUGUGUUGACCAUUUUAUUAACGUGGACAAUGAUUGCAUGUUCCCACACUGAGUAUACUUUGUAUGCUCAUCCCAUAUUAAAACAUUUUCAGGUAUUUUUUUUUUUACGUUGGAGACGCGUGGAAGGUCGAAUGGGCGCAUCAAGUCAUUUAUCAAGUAGUUGAUUUGAUUUUUCAUCUAAUUUAAGUAUUUAAAGUUUUGCUUAGCACAAUUUUUACUUAAUACUUAGGUAUUUUGAUGACAUCAUUAUGUCAUGCUUUGAAACAAGAGAUUAAUUGUCGAUUUUAACUCAAAGUUAGUCUUUGAGUAUAUUAUUUAAAAGUUGAUAUCCUUUUAAAAGUGCUUGUAAAAGUUUAUUUUUUUUAAGGGUUUGCUCCAUUUGAAGUGAUUUCAAAAUAUUUUAUUUAAUACUCCCUCCGUCCACCAAUUCAAGGCCUACUUGCCUUUUUGGGACGUCCACAAAAACAAGGCCUACCUAUUUUUGGUAAGUUUUUAUUCAUUAUUUAAUCAAAAAAGUCAAAGAUUCUUUACAAAAAAGUGGGACCCUUUCUCCACUCAACUAAUAAAAAUACACUUCUUCUUAAAAAGUGGGACCCUUUCUCCACUCAACUAAUAAAAAUACAUUUUUUUUAAAACCCUUGUUUUUCCCCUAGGCCUUUAAUUGGUGGACGGAGGGAGUAAUUUAUUUUGAAAGAAAAUAUAUUUUAUCAAACUUCUUAUUCUUUUGAGGUCUUCCGCUAUUAAAAGUUAUUUAAAUUCAUAUUUAACACUUUAAUUAGAUUAGGGUGUUACACCCGCAGGCGAAUCAACUGCAAC
RNAcentral lists this long non-coding RNA (3541 nucleotides) under Salvia miltiorrhiza (redroot sage). RNAcentral describes it as "long non-coding RNA (SMIL_LNC006506)". The record is from RNAcentral. Lineage: Eukaryota; Viridiplantae; Streptophyta; Magnoliopsida; Lamiales; Lamiaceae.